GAUGAACGCUAGCUACAGGCUUAACACAUGCAAGUCGAGGGGCAGCAUGAAUUUACUUCGGUAAAUUUGAUGGCGACCGGCGCACGGGUGCGUAACGCGUAUCCAACCUUCCCGUUACUCCGGGAUAGCCUUCCGAAAGGGAGAUUAAUACCGGAUGGUGUUUGAAGUCCGCAUGAAAUUCAAACUAAAGAUUUAUCGGUAACGGAUGGGGAUGCGUACCAUUAGAUAGUAGGCGGGGUAACGGCCCACCUAGUCGACGAUGGUUAGGGGUUCUGAGAGGAAGGUCCCCCACACUGGAACUGAGACACGGCCCAGACUCCUACGGGAGGCAGCAGUGAGGAAUAUUGGUCAAUGGGCGAGAGCCUGAACCAGCCAAGUAGCGUGCAGGAUGACGGCCCUACGGGUUGUAAACUGCUUUUAUGCGGGAAUAAAGAUAUCUACGUGUAGAUAGUUGCAUGUACCGCAUGAAUAAGGACCGGCUAAUUCCGUG
RNAcentral lists this ribosomal RNA (490 nucleotides) under uncultured bacterium. Its description in RNAcentral is "bacterial SSU rRNA". It matches the Rfam family "Bacterial small subunit ribosomal RNA", at positions 28 to 507 of the family's 1533-position model. The record is from RNAcentral.